RNAcentral lists this transfer RNA (68 nucleotides) under Varanus gouldii (Gould's goanna). Its description in RNAcentral is "tRNA-Ile". Lineage: Eukaryota; Metazoa; Chordata; Lepidosauria; Squamata; Varanidae. The record is from RNAcentral.
GGAAAUGUGCCUGAACCAAAGGACUAUUUUGAUAGAAUAGAUCAUAGGAAUGAACUUCCUCAUUUCCC